GAUCCUGGCUUAGGAUGAACGCUAGCUACAGGCUUAACACAUGCAAGUCGAGGGGCAGCAUGUUGGUUGCUUGCAACCGAUGAUGGCGACCGGCGCACGGGUGAGUAACGCGUAUCCAACCUUCCCCUUAGUAGGGCAUAGCCCGUAGAAAUGCGGAUUAAUACCCUAUGUUCUUCGAAGCGGUCAUCCAAUUUGAAGCAAAGAUUCAUCGCUAAGGGAUGGGGAUGCGUCCGAUUAGGUUGUUGGCGGGGUAACGGCCCACCAAGCCAUCGAUCGGUAGGGGUUCUGAGAGGAAGGUCCCCCACAUUGGAACUGAGACACGGUCCAAACUCCUACGGGAGGCAGCAGUGAGGAAUAUUGGUCAAUGGGCGGGAGCCUGAACCAGCCAAGUAGCCGUGCAGGAUGACGGCCCUAUGGGUUGUAAACUGUCUUUUAUCAGGGGAUAAAGUGGCCCACGUGUGGGUUUUUGUAGGUACCUGAUGAAUAAGGACCGACUAAUUCCGUGCCAGCCGCCGC
Molecule: ribosomal RNA, 516 nt
Filed under: uncultured bacterium
Lineage: Bacteria
Description: bacterial SSU rRNA
Rfam family: Bacterial small subunit ribosomal RNA
Source: RNAcentral